CGGAUGAUAGGGAUUUUGUAACAUACCAGAUUUUGGUAUAAAAAUAAAAAUAAAUAAAAAUAGUGUGAGAUACUAUUUUUAUUGAAUUUAGAGGAGUAAAAUAUAAGUCAGAAGUGACUUGUGCUGAAAUCGGAAUGAAAACAGAAAAUCUAGAAUUUUCUGUUGGAAACGAGACAGAUAAAUUAGCAGAAAAUGCAGUCUCAGAAAAUUAUAAAAAUUGGAGGUAAGUCAGAAAUAUUUUUAUGAGACUAGAUUUAAAGUUUCAUAUUUUUCUGACACCCGGAAGGUGGAAAAUAAAAUUCGACAGCUAUCUAAUAAAGAUUACAGUUCGGUACAGUUUUCGGUGACCAAAUGGGGUCGAAAUUGAAAAUUUAAAAUAUAUUCUUACUCAGUAUGUUAAACUGAGCAUGUCUGUCAAAUUUGAGCUCAAAUGGACAUUCAGAAGGGCUCC
This 451-nucleotide long non-coding RNA is filed under the name Ananas comosus (pineapple). Its description in RNAcentral is "long non-coding RNA (ACOM_LNC032794)". The record is from RNAcentral. Lineage: Eukaryota; Viridiplantae; Streptophyta; Magnoliopsida; Poales; Bromeliaceae.